AUUUGCAUGAGAGUAAAUCAGACAUUUGCUUAAAGUAAAAAACUGCUACGUGUGACUGCAAUUGCGAGUGCUCUCAGAAAUCAUUCGCUCGCACGAGUGAUUUGCUUGCAACGUCUGACGGAGCCUAUAAUCUCGUUUCGAAGUGUACACGGUAAUAUUGGAAUACUCAUUUUAGGAGUACUUUUUAAUCACUCAUGAGAAUAUUGCCUAUACGUCACAUUAUGCGUAAUUUUUGGGAGUACUUUUUACACUUUUUCUAGUAUGUGGAUGAAUGGGAAAAUGCGUAAAAAGUAGCUUAUUGCGAGAAAAGAAAAUCUUCUGACAUUGUUAAAGUUAGCGAGUACGGAAAUUGUUCGAGAUUAAAUUUAAAAUUGAAUUUUUAAGGGAAUGUUAUUUAAUCUGAAGUUAAUGAAGUUCGGGUGAGGACAUUUAGCUAAACUGGUAUUUGAUUGUUAUGAACGGCAAUUUCAGCCUGCAGACCCCCUUGUCGCCGUACCCUAUUCAUGGCAUCAGCGACAGCGAGCUGAUGUCGAUAUCAGUUAGAGACUUCCUCGGGAGGAGAUUAUCCGGAAGAUGAAACGGAGUUGAACGUUAAAGAACCAUGAGUACGGAUCAACUUGUCGGAUCAAUCAGAUCGAAAACAAGAGCACUGGAGAUAGAAAAGACUGCAGAAGAUCGUAAAAUAAUGAUCGUCAAAGCGUAGGAUGAUUUCGGAUAACAGCAUGGAUUCUACCUCGGAUUCCACUUAAUGAUAAUUUAUUUUUAAUGUAAACUAUUAUUGAAUUAUCCAAUUUUGUAAGUGUACUAUUUUAGUUUCAAAUUGAUAGGAUAAAAACAAUCUUUGCGAUGUAAUUAUUUAAAAUUGGCAAAAAUAAAAAAAAAUACAUCGAAAUCGUUUACUUCUUCAGUGAGUAAAAUUCAUACACUUAACUAAUAUUAAGUUAGGGGUAAAAAGUAUACA
This is a long non-coding RNA of Armigeres subalbatus, 961 nucleotides long. RefSeq lists it as uncharacterized. The record is from RefSeq and is a predicted model, not a curated record. Lineage: Eukaryota; Metazoa; Arthropoda; Insecta; Diptera; Culicidae. The transcript has 3 exons.